UACGUAGGUGGCAAGCGUUGUCCGGAAUUAUUGGGCGUAAAGCGCGCGCAGGUGGUUUCUUAAGUCUGAUGUGAAAGCCCCCGGCUCAACCGGGGAGGGUCAUUGGAAACUGGGGAACUUGAGUGCAGAAGAGAAGAGUGGAAUUCCACGUGUAGCGGUGAAAUGCGUAGAGAUGUGGAGGAACACCAGUGGCGAAGGCGGCUUUCUGGUCUGUAACUGACGCUGAGGCGCGAAAGCGUGGGGAGCAAACAGG
RNAcentral lists this ribosomal RNA (253 nucleotides) under uncultured bacterium. RNAcentral's name for it is "partial 16S ribosomal RNA". It matches the Rfam family "Bacterial small subunit ribosomal RNA", at positions 524 to 776 of the family's 1533-position model. The record is from RNAcentral.